AGGAGGAACAGCCCCAGUGUCGGGGCAGCUCUGGAAACCUGGAUUCAGCUCCGGCAGGAACUACAGAGUUCUCCGUCUGCAGGGCCUGGAGGCUCCGGGCGGGG
This is a non-coding RNA of Canis lupus familiaris (dog), 104 nucleotides long. Lineage: Eukaryota; Metazoa; Chordata; Mammalia; Carnivora; Canidae. The record is from Rfam.